This 313-nucleotide unclassified non-coding RNA is filed under the name Hevea brasiliensis (rubber tree). Lineage: Eukaryota; Viridiplantae; Streptophyta; Magnoliopsida; Malpighiales; Euphorbiaceae. The record is from RNAcentral.
AAGUGAUUUACUGGAUAAUUGCAAACCAAUAUUUUUUGUGUAGCUUUCCUAUGUUGCAGGAGAAAGCUUUCUUUCUGCUGUAAUUUAGUAAUUGACCUAUGUCUUUAACUGUGAGCCUGUAGGCGCAGAACUAUUGUGAAAUUGUGUCAUCAAGUUCAGUUUUACUAUGGUGGGAUUUAUCAGAAAUUUAUAAAUGCUUCUGAAGAUCAUAGUUGGUCUUACAUUCUAUAACUUCAUGGUCAAUUAUUAAUAUAAGUGUUGCUUGGAUUCAAAACCUUCUUUUUUUUAAAAAAUAAUGAUAAUAAUAAUAAUA